This 222-nucleotide non-coding RNA is filed under the name Aethionema arabicum. The record is from RNAcentral. Lineage: Eukaryota; Viridiplantae; Streptophyta; Magnoliopsida; Brassicales; Brassicaceae.
AACCAGAAUUAUGAGAUACCGAGAGCGAGACACUGUGGUCACCAAAAGGGCGAAACAAGAACCCUAGCCUACCUCGAGGUUGAGAAAACUCUGAACUCUUAGGAGAAAAUAACUUAAUGAUAAAUAACAAAAUAAUAAAUAAUAUAAAGGGGCGGGAGAGCUAAACGCUACUUCAAAACCCACUAAAAACGCGCCUUUGAGCAUUUUUUUCAGGCGAAAAGA